CGCAAAGGCCGGUUUAUAUCUGGGUAAUCACAUUUGAAUAAUUCAGUAUAAAAUUUUGUUGUGUUUAUAUUAUUGGUUUUUAUAUAUUAUCGAUGGUAAUGUUGAAUAUGGUUAUGUGAUUUAUUAAAAAUACAUUGCUUUUUACAAUCAGAAAAUAGUAUUAUAUUAUCUGAAAGUAAUUUUAACAUGGCCCAUGAUCUGAACCAUGCUUCACAUGGAUAAGUUUUGGAAUUAUCUUAAUUUAUUUUUUUUGGAGAUAAGAAUUAUCUUAAUAUUUAGAAAUGAUCCAAAUGGGUCUUUAGUUGGGUGUAUAUAUCACUUGACUUGCCAUGCAUGUUGCCAUUGCUUUGUGUUCAUUUGUUUUUGAAGGAUUUAAUUCUACUGAAUGGAAGACAUGUCUAUCUCAUAAUGCCAUUAAUGUUUGGAAAUCAAUAAUUGAAAUCAUUGAAAAUGAUAUUACAUGCUUAAAUUUGUUUGUAUUUCAUUAUUCAAUUCUGCUUAACUUAUUGAAUGGAUUCACUGUUGGUUUAUAUUCCUUUAAAUGGAAUACCUGCAACGAGAUCAUAAGCGCAUGGACAAUAUAAUUCCAAGAGAUGAAGAGUUCAUUAUGAGAAUCAUCAUUUUGUAGCUCAUUGCUCAGCGAGCAAAAUGAUUUCAAGCAGUCAUCAUCUCAGCAGAGGAGCUCUCAUGAUUCAAACAUUAUGUUCAAUUAUGUGAUGCAAUGGCUGUAGGAAUUAGCAAUAAGAAAUCUGGUCUGGAAGAAAACAUUUAUUGCAGUCAAAUAUCCAUGUGAAUCAGGACUUGCUCCUAAUGGGAACAGUACUAGCAACCAGUAGAAAUGUAUUUUUAUUUCUUUAUGUUUUGCACAAAGAAAGAGUUUCCAUGCAUUUUCUGCAAAAAAAUACUGCAUUAUAGGAACCAAAUAAUAAAUUAUGUGGUUCAUGAGUGCUUUGCGUUAAAUACAGUAUCAUCUACUGAAAUGAGGUCACCAGUCUUUUAAAUUUUAAAAUACUAUGAAAUUCAACACGUCAAAAAUUAUGUUUUAGUUGGAAAUUUAAAAUACAUUAUCGCUUAUUUUGACAAUAAGUAGUUUUUCAAUGUUGGGCAUAGAAAUUGAAAAUUGAAUGUGCUGCAAAUUUUAACUUUUUUUUUUUUGA
RNAcentral lists this unclassified non-coding RNA (1157 nucleotides) under Hevea brasiliensis (rubber tree). The record is from RNAcentral. Lineage: Eukaryota; Viridiplantae; Streptophyta; Magnoliopsida; Malpighiales; Euphorbiaceae.